RNAcentral lists this long non-coding RNA (624 nucleotides) under Homo sapiens (human). RNAcentral describes it as "TRD antisense RNA 1". Lineage: Eukaryota; Metazoa; Chordata; Mammalia; Primates; Hominidae. The record is from RNAcentral.
GCAGAUAUCCUGAACUAUCUUUCCUCAUCAGAACAUGCAUUUCUGGCAAGACAGUGGCUCUCAUUCCCUGGCUUUUCCCCCCAGUUUCCCUAGAUCAGGUCCCUAUAAUUCUUUAGUGGAAGAAGCCAAAGAACAGGAAUUAGGCUAUUUAUCCUUGGAAUUCAUUUAGAAAAACUUGGUUUUUCUUGGCCAAGCACUACAGUGAAAACUAACUUCAUGUAGACAGCAUGGGCCAAAUGAGGAUGGACAGCUGACUCAUCACAGGAUGUCUGAUCUGAAAGCAUGUUGUGGUCCGCUACACACAAGAGCAAAAGAAGAGCAGGAAGGAGCUCAGUGCCAAGACCAUAGCCACAGGAAGAAAACCAGCUCUUAGGGCUGCAGCUCUAAAGACAGGCCAGGUCAUUACAGGAACGUCUGCUCCCUUAGCCUUGCCAGACAGAGGAGGGUUAAGAAAGGAACUGCUGACCCUGAUAUGCAAACUGCCACGAGUGCUUCCUGCCUUUCUAUCAGCAUCAGAUGGCUAGCGAUGGAUGGCUGUAAGAUUGAUGUAAUUAACAUUUUAUUUUCAGGGCCACAGUGCUGGUUGGGUGCACCAGACAAAUCAACCAACAGAUUAAAGAGUGA